This 62-nucleotide transfer RNA is filed under the name Listeria monocytogenes. Its description in RNAcentral is "tRNA-Asp". It matches the Rfam family "tRNA", at positions 9 to 63 of the family's 71-position model. From Rfam's summary of the family: Transfer RNA (tRNA) molecules are approximately 80 nucleotides in length. Their secondary structure includes four short double-helical elements and three loops (D, anti-codon, and T loops). The record is from RNAcentral. Lineage: Bacteria; Bacillati; Bacillota; Bacilli; Caryophanales; Listeriaceae.
GGUGUAGGGGUUAACAUGCCUGCCUGUCACGCAGGAGAUCUCGGGUUCAAAUCCCGUCGGGA